Molecule: long non-coding RNA, 560 nt
Organism: Pipra filicauda (Wire-tailed manakin)
Lineage: Eukaryota; Metazoa; Chordata; Aves; Passeriformes; Pipridae
Exons: 3
Source: RefSeq, a predicted model, not a curated record
GGUCUGGUCCAAAAUGGUGGACUUCAUGGAUAAAAUGGAUUUAAAAAGCAGCUAAGCCCACGCUGGAUCCCAAGGGGACAGAAGGGGCUCGAGGUCAGGAAUUCAUCCAGAAGAACAUGUUCUCUGCCUGCAGCAGCUCCCAUUAAGAUUCACCAGCCCCAGGGAAACGGGCAAAAUCCACGUGGAAUCAGGUGCCGUGAGGUCUGUAAACCACAGUGCUCCUCCUGAUGAAAACUGCUCUUGAACUACAAGAACAAUUUAAGGCAAGUACAGAACUGAGUAGGAUUUGCUGCCUCAAGUGAGCCAGAACCGUCCCAUGCAUUACAAUCCAAACACACAACUUUCUAGGUACAUUUUAGCUACGUGAUAAAUGCUGUUAAAGCAGAAAUCUGUGGUUCAACAGAUUUUAACAGUCUGCUAUCAGUACAAGUGAAAACAGGUAGGAGAUAAAAGCUGAGAGCCAGCUUAGCUCUCAACAGCCACUGAGAGGUAAACCCGCAGCAAAAACUACUUUGAUCUCAACCACCACUUUACAAGUCAAUGAGGAAAAUAAGAAUGCA